Molecule: long non-coding RNA, 434 nt
Filed under: Salvia miltiorrhiza (redroot sage)
Lineage: Eukaryota; Viridiplantae; Streptophyta; Magnoliopsida; Lamiales; Lamiaceae
Description: long non-coding RNA (SMIL_LNC009969)
Source: RNAcentral
GCAGGUACAAUCGGAUAUCUUAGAUAAAAGAGUAAGAAAUCCACCUAAGUAGAUGGAGUGAAGAAUGAUUGCACACAGAAACCUUCCCACGCAGCCAAGGUGCCUUCCUGCGCAGCCAAGUAGCUUUCCCGUGCAGCCGCGCAGCCAAACCAGAGCAGCGCAGUCGAGCUGCACAGCCAGACCAGAGCAGCGCAGACCAGAGCAGACCAGUGCACCGCGGACCAGAGCAGAGCAGCGCAGACCAAAGCAGCGCGGCAGCGCUGCGCAGUCAGAGCAGCGCCACCAAAGUGCCUUUCCUGCGCAGCUACGUGUGAUAGUUCAACUUCGGGAAUAAGACCGUUGUACUGAGUUUUGGGCCCAAUUGACUAGAUGAGUGGGCUUUUAGAAUUAGGGUUUGCUCACAAACUAUAAAUAGCACAUCUAUUGGAAAACUA